Molecule: non-coding RNA, 158 nt
Organism: Musca domestica (house fly)
Lineage: Eukaryota; Metazoa; Arthropoda; Insecta; Diptera; Muscidae
Source: Rfam
CCUUCGAUAGCUCAGUUGGUAGAGCGGUGGACUGUAGUUCGGGAUGCAUUCAAACAUCAAAAAUUCGGUUCGCAUUCGUUGCCCUCAAAAGCGGCGAAUACAAACAAAACUUCUAUGCAGACAUCCAUAGGUCGCUGGUUCAAAUCCGGCUCGAAGGA